This 440-nucleotide ribosomal RNA is filed under the name uncultured bacterium. RNAcentral's name for it is "partial 16S ribosomal RNA". It matches the Rfam family "Bacterial small subunit ribosomal RNA", at positions 338 to 795 of the family's 1533-position model. The record is from RNAcentral.
CCUACGGGAGGCAGCAGUAGGGAAUAUUGCUCAAUGGGGGAAACCCUGAAGCAGCAACGCCGCGUGAAGGAUGACGGUUUUCGGAUUGUAAACUCCUUUUGUUAGAGAAGAUAAUGACGGUAUCUAACGAAUAAGCACCGGCUAACUCCGUGCCAGCAGCCGCGGUAAUACGGAGGGUGCAAGCGUUACUCGGAAUCACUGGGCGUAAAGGGCGCGUAGGCGGGUUAGCAAGUCAGAUGUGAAAUCGUAUGGCUUAACCAUAGAAGUGCAUUGGAAACUGUUAUUCUUGAGUAUGGGAGAGGUAGGUGGAAUUCGUGGUGUAGGGGUAAAAUGCGUAGAGAUCAAGAAGAAUACCCAUUGCGAAGGCAGCCUGCUAAACUAUAACUGACGCUGAUGCGCGAAAGCGUGGGUAGCAAACAGGAUUAGAUACCCGGGUAGUC